Molecule: long non-coding RNA, 1194 nt
Organism: Eriocheir sinensis (Chinese mitten crab)
Lineage: Eukaryota; Metazoa; Arthropoda; Malacostraca; Decapoda; Varunidae
Exons: 3
Source: RefSeq, a predicted model, not a curated record
GCUUCUUCCCGGUGGGUCCUGAUGGUCGGCCCAAGGCUUCUUCCCGAUGGGUCCUGAUGGUCGGCCCAAGGCUUCUUCCCGGUGGUUCCUGAUGGUCGGCCCAAGGCUUCUUCCCGGUGGGUCCUGAUGGUCGGUCCAAGGCUUCUUCCCGGUGGAUCCUGAUGGUCGGCCCAAGGCUUCUUCCCGGUGGGUCCUGAUGGUCGGCCCAAGGCUUCUUCCCGGUGGAUCCUGAUGGUCGGCCCAAGGCUUCUUCCCGGUGGGUCCUGAUGGUUGGUCCAAGGCUUCUUCCCGGUGGGUCCUGAUGGUCGGCCCAAGGCUUCUUCCCGGUGGGUCCUGAUGGUCGGCCCAAGGCUUCUUCCCGGUGGGUCCUGAUGGUCGGCCCAAGGCUUCUUCCCGGUGGGUCCUGAUGGUCGGCCCAAGGCUUCUUCCAGGUGGGUCCUGAUGGUCGGCCCAAGGCUUCUUCCCGGUGGGUCCUGAUGGUCGGCCCAAGGCUUCUUCCCGGUGGGUCCUGAUGGUCGGCCCAAGGCUUCUUCCCGGUGGGUCCUGAUGGUCGGCCCAAGGCUUCUUCCCGGUGGGUCCUGAUGGUCGGCCCAAGGCUUCUUCCCGAUGGGUCCUGAUGGUCGGCCCAGCCCGUUCUGGCGCAGGUGAGUGUUUAUAGUGGCGCCAUCUGGCCACAGGACACAACAUAAACCCAUAAAAAUGUUACAAAAAUAUGAGGAUUUUGUAACGAAUUAAUUUUUUACUACAUUAAUUUCAAUGGGAUAAAUUGCUUCCUAAUUCAAACAUUCACAAGGGAUACAUAAGGGGAGGCGGUGGCUGAAUGGAUAGUGUGACGGCGCCGCAUUCAGGACAACGCGAGUUCAAUCCCCGCCCGGUGCCACCAAGCUGGGAUUCUUCAGCCGCCGCCGAGUGGCUGAAAACUACCCACAUGCUGUCCAGAAGACCACCUAUCAACCCGGACUCUAGAUUCUAGGAUUAAAGAUGAGCUCUGGGAGAUGCAAGAUGGCGCCACUAUAAACACUCGCCUGCACCAGAACGGGCUGGGCUGACCAUCAGGCCCCACCGGGAAGAAGCCUUGGACCAACCAUCAGGACCCACCGGGAAGAAGCCUUGGACCGACCAUCAGGACCCACCGGGAAGAAGCCUUGGACCGACCAUCAGGACCCACCGGGAAGAAGCCUUGGACCGACCAUC